Molecule: long non-coding RNA, 1499 nt
Filed under: Olea europaea subsp. europaea
Lineage: Eukaryota; Viridiplantae; Streptophyta; Magnoliopsida; Lamiales; Oleaceae
Source: RNAcentral
CAUUUACACUCGAUAAGCUCAGAUUUCGACACAAAACCAGGCACAUACAUCUUUGAUCUCCCUAAACAUCUUUAAUGACUCGAGAAAAACCCAUUUUGCAUAUAGCAAUUAACACGGNAUCUUAUGAAGUUGGAGCCUAAACUUAGAAGCUUCUGGUGAAAACUUAGGUGUGAGUUGAUAGUUUUUGUGGAAGUUUCAAUUCUUGCAUGAGACGCUGCUACCUAUACCAGAAUUGUUACAUAAAUUAGUAAUUUCGGUAAACGAUAUGGAAUUCUAAAUUGAUGGAAUAUUGCAUCACGUAUAGAGCUUGUUUGGGAGUGAUUUUGAGAAUUGAUUUUCUGACCGUUAUGAAAAAAGUGAGAUCCACCUGUGAGAGAAAAAGUCAUAUAUGACGGCUGGAAUAAUGAAAUAACGGUCAAAAAAUCAAUUUUUGGGGCCAAAAAAUUGCUCCCAAACAGUCUUAUAGUAAUUCUUUCCAUACUUGAAUUACGGAUUUGGGUCUCAGUUUCUUUGAAUUUACCUCAUUUUUUUAUUUUUUUUUCUGUGGAAUGACGGAAACAGAAAUAGAACCUGAUUUUACAGACUUGAAAGUAUUGGCAUAGAAUUUUUAGGAAAACACUCCUCAUUCAGGGCCACAAGGGCCCUGAAUUUCAAGGGUGCCGAUUUGGCGCUGCCUAUUGGAGAAGGGGGGGGGGGGUGGCUGUCCACACCCUUGGCUCUGAAUUUCUAGCGGGGCUCGAAUUUUUGUUGGACAAGGUUUUACCGAACGAAAAGUUUUUUUGUUUUAUCUAUUUAUUUAAGGGAGAAUUGCAGCUGGAUCCUAAACCUUUUAAAUCUUUUAAAAAUUAUACAUAAACCUUCAUUUUUGCAGAUGAGGUCCCAAACCAUUUACACUCGAUAAGCUCAGAUUUCGACACAAAACCAGGCAUAUACAUCUCUGAUCUCCCUAAACAUCUUUAAUGACUCGAGAAAAACCCAUUUUGCAUAUAGCAAUUAACACGGCAUUCCAGGAAAUGGUAUCUCUAUGAGGCAUAGAAUCGAACAGCUUGUACGCGCUCUUCGUGUCCGAAAACUUUGAAUACAUGGAGAUGAGGGAAUUUGAGACGGUGGAUUCAGAAUCAAACCCAUCUAUGACAACGUUGCAGUGUAUUUGAAGUCCCAAAAUUUGGUGGGUUUGAGAAUGAGCACAGGCUAUGAUGAUUGACGGAAGAAUAAAGGUACUUGCAGACUUGCAGUUGCAGGGAAAGGGUGGACUUGUUCUUUGUACACUGCAAGGGCUUGGCCAUGGAAACCUUUUGCUACCAAAUGUUGAACUUUUGCGUUGGCCUCAAGAAUUGAUGAUGUCGCGCUUGCAGCUGAUAAGUUGUAUCAAUUGAUGUAUUCAGUGGCGGCGACCGCAAUGGUUGAGGCGGAUGGAUCUAAGUUUUGGUUGAGUUUUUGGUACCUUUUCCGAUGGCAAAAAAAAAAGGGGUUGGCAGGGCGGGGCGCCCUGACUUGGG